RNAcentral lists this ribosomal RNA (494 nucleotides) under uncultured bacterium. RNAcentral describes it as "partial 16S ribosomal RNA". It matches the Rfam family "Bacterial small subunit ribosomal RNA", at positions 28 to 507 of the family's 1533-position model. The record is from RNAcentral.
GACGAACGCUGGCGGCGUGCUUAACACAUGCAAGUCGAACGGUGAAGCGCCUUCCUUUUUGGUGGGUGUGGAUGAGUGGCGAACGGGUGAGUAACACGUGAGUAACCUGCCCCCUUCUUCUGGAUAACCGCAUGAAAGUGUGGCUAAUACGGGAUAUUCUGGGUCUGUCGCAUGAUGGGUCUGGGAAAGAUAUUGUUUCGGUGGGGGAUGGGCUCGCGGCCUAUCAGCUUGUUGGUGGGGUGAUGGCCUACCAAGGCGGUGACGGGUAGCCGGCCUGAGAGGGUGGACGGUCACACUGGGACUGAGACACGGCCCAGCCUCCUACGGGAGGCAGCAGUGGGGAAUAUUGCACAAUGGGCGCAAGCCUGAUGCAGCGACGCCGCGUGAGGGAUGGAGGCCUUCGGGUUGUGAACCUCUUUCGCCAGUGAGGCAGGCCUGCCUCGUUUGUGGGUGGGUUGACGGUAGCUGGAUAAGAAGCGCCGGCUAACUACGUG